CAGGUGGUUGUGAUGGAGGAUAUUGUCAGCUGGGGUCAUCCUGUGUGUCUGGAUGUGUAGACUCCUACUACAGGACUGGCUGUAAAGCUGGUACUACAGUGGGACUAUCUGUGGGACUGUCGGAGUUUUCUUAAUCAUCUUCCUGGUCUUGUGCUGCAAGUAUUGUCAACGCUUAAGGCAGAACAGUGUCACCAACAAAACAGAGAUGUGCAGCAACGUUGCCGAGAUGAGCGGUGCCACUGUACAGGAGCUGGAAUGGUAUACUGAUAUUCCACUGACAGACAUGACCCUGGCUUCUGGGUCAAGGUCAUCUGGAGGGAGCUGCUGCGGGG
Haliotis rubra (blacklip abalone) is the source of this 332-nucleotide long non-coding RNA. RefSeq lists it as uncharacterized. The record is from RefSeq and is a predicted model, not a curated record. NCBI's taxonomy places the organism in Eukaryota, Metazoa, Mollusca, Gastropoda, Lepetellida, Haliotidae. The transcript is spliced from 3 exons.